CGGACGGGUGAGUAAUGUAUAGUUAAUCUGCCCUAUAGAGGGGGAUAACAGUUGGAAACGACUGCUAAUACCCCAUACUCCUUUUACAUUAAUUGUAAUUGGGAAAUGUUUUUUCGCUAAAGGAUGAGACUAUAUGGUAUCAGGUAGUUGGUGGGGUAAGAGCCUACCAAGCCAAUGACGCCUAGCUGGUCUGAGAGGAUGAUCAGCCACACUGGAACUGAGACACGGUCCAG
This 233-nucleotide ribosomal RNA is filed under the name uncultured bacterium. RNAcentral's name for it is "partial 16S ribosomal RNA". It matches the Rfam family "Bacterial small subunit ribosomal RNA", at positions 99 to 334 of the family's 1533-position model. The record is from RNAcentral.